This 1995-nucleotide long non-coding RNA is filed under the name Homo sapiens (human). RNAcentral describes it as "long intergenic non-protein coding RNA 944". The record is from RNAcentral. Lineage: Eukaryota; Metazoa; Chordata; Mammalia; Primates; Hominidae.
AGGUGUGGUAUGUGAUCACAGGCAACUCAGGAACAGCUCUCCAGCCCCAGGACUUCUGCUGGAACCGCUGGGAGUUGGAAGCUUUCUUCCCACUGAGGGGCAAACCUUCUAGGUAUCUGAAGAUGUUGAAGACCAUUUCCUGGAACAGCAGAGGUAAAUGCCCAGAGGAUGAGAACACAUAGCCAUUAGGAGAGCCUGAAAGUUCAGUGUGACUGAAAGAUGAAGUUCAAGAGAAGGGACAAACUGCAAAACACAAGCUGGAGAGUUUUAGGUAAGAGUCAUAUCACAAAAAGCCAUUAAGCAUUUUAAAAUGCUUAGCCUUUAUCCAAAGACUAAUGGAAAGGCACUGACAUGACCUAAUCAUGAAUGAGAAGAUUUGAUUAAAUAUAUCUCUCUACAAUGAUGGAGAAUGGACCAAAAGCAGGCGGGGACAAGGACAGUAAACUCUGCUAGGGACUGCUAGAAUGACCCUGAAAGAAUAGCCCUGAAGAUAGAAAGAAGUAGAUAGUUGCCAAAGAUACCUGUGGAAUACAAAAGUACCAGUGCCCACCAGAUCAAACUACACAUGGAUCUGAAUCUCAGAAAAGGGCUCCGAGCUAGGGAAAGAGAUUUAGAAGCCUUCAGCAGAGAGAUGAUGUUUUAAGCCUUAGGAGUGAAUGAAAUUACCCAGAGAACAUGCAUGAUGAGAAGAGAACCUGGAACAGCAGGGGCCAAGAUUUAGGAUCUGUCAGACAACGAGGAGCCCAAGACUGAGACCUGUUAAUCCAAAAUGCACCAUUUUGUAAGCUCCCUGCCAAUAUGCAGACCUUGGUCAAAGUGAAACAUUCCACGAGGGUUCGGGCCAUGAGAACCUGCCUGCCCAACCGCCUGACUUUAACACAUUCUGCUGAGAAAAAGUCCAAGGAACAUCAUUAUUACAUUCUGUGGGAACAAGGCCCCAACUGCCUCAUUGUGGGAACGUCUUCUCAACAUCUUCCCUGGCAGCACGCCAUACUGCCCAGACCCCUCCCUGCCAUACCUACAAGUAUCCCAGCCUGUAAGCAGUGGUGGGCACUGGCAUUAAGCUGGUCCUCCACCUCGGCAGGUUUACCUGGACAUAAAUACCUGCAUUUGCUGUUGAGCCGCCCUCUCGCUCUAUGUGUGUCUUUAACCCUCACCUUCCCUUGGAAACCUAACAAGAAGCAGGAGCCAGGAAGGUAGGAGGAAGACAGAAGCCCAUGGUGUUAAAAACAGCCACAGGAAUUAUGUAGAACAGUGAUUCUCAAAGUGAGGUCCACAAACUCUCGGGGCUCCCAUGACCCUUGUAGGAGGUCCACACAAGCCAAAAUAUCUCUAUAUGGAUACUAAGGUGUUAUUUGUUGAUUUCAUUCUCAUGAGCACAUGAAUGCAGAAUGGAGAUUUCCGGAGGCUACCGGAAAGGUGAUAUUGCAACAAACUGGAGAAACAACAUCAUGAAAUUUCUCCAUUUUAAUUUCUAAUAAAUAUCAAUGUUUAUAAGCAAAAUGGUUUUUUUGGUGGGGUGGUUUUCAACAAUGUAAGGAUAAACAGAUCCUGUGAUCAAAGAGUGAGAACACAGCCAUAGAGAGCUUUACAAAGGGCAUCAGUAUUAAUGUCAAAUGUUACUGAGGCCUCGAGGGAACUAACCAGUCAGAAGCAACCAUCGAAUUUAGUAAUGGACUUCACUCACUUGGUGAAAGCUGUUCCGUGUCAUGGUGGCAGAGACACAGCACAGUGGCUGAGAGUGAGCAGGAGCUGUGGAAGUUGAAUAAUGCCUGAAGGGACCAUUCUUUCUAGAGACUGUGGAAUGGAAUGACUCUCCAGAGCUGCAGAUUGAAGGCAUAUUUUCAUCUGACUUUGGUGAUUAUGUUUCCAAUCUCUCUGGGAAUAAGAUCUCAAUGGCGGGAACACCUUCAUGGCCCCUUUAUAGCUGGUAUGUUUUCUUCUUAUGGACAAUGAGAAACAUGUAAUAAACUGUGUUUCCUUCUCGCUAGGAAA